UAGCAUAUCAAUAAGCGGAGGAAAAGAAACUAACAAGGAUUCCCCUAGUAACUGCGAGUGAAGCGGGAAAAGCUCAAAUUUAAAAUCUGGCGGUCUUUGGCCGUCCGAGUUGUAAUCUAGAGAAGUAAUGCCCGUGCUGGACCGUGUAUAAGUCUCCUGGGAUGGGGCGUCAUAGAGGGUGAGAAUCCCGUCUUUGACACGGACUACCAGUGCAUUGUGGUAUGCUCUCAAAGAGUCGAGUUGUUUGGGAAUGCAGCUCAAAAUGGGUGGUAAAUUCCAUCUAAAGCUAAAUAUUGGCGAGAGACCGAUAGCGAACAAGUACCGUGAGGGAAAGAUGAAAAGAACUUUGGAAAGAGAGUUAAACAGUACGUGAAAUUGCUGAAAGGGAAACGCUUGAAGUCAGUCGCGUUGGCCAGGGAUCAGCCUUGCUUUUGCAUGGUGUACUUUCUGGUUGACGGGUCAGCAUCAAUUUUGACCGCUGGAAAAGGGCCUGGGGAAUGUGGCAGCUUCGGCUGUGUUAUAGCCCCUGGUCGCAUACAGUGGUUGGGAUUGAGGAACUCAGCACGCCGCAAGGCCGGGUUUCGACCACGUUCGUGCUUAGGAUGCUGGCAUAAUGGCUUUAAGCGACCCGUCUUGAAACACGGACCAAGGAGUCUAACAUGCCUGCGAGUAUUUGGGUGGAAAACCCGAGUGCGCAAUGAAAGUGAAAGUUGAGAUCCCUGUCGUGGGGAGCAUCGACGCCCGGACCAGAACUUUUGGGACGGAUCCGCGGUGGAGCAUGUAUGUUGGGACCCGAAAGAUGGUGAACUAUGCCUGAAUAGGGUGAAGCCAGAGGAAACUCUGGUGGAGGCUCGUAGCGAUUCUGACGUGCAAAUCGAUCGUCAAAUUUGGGUAUAGGGGCGAAAGACUAAUCGAACCAUCUAGUAGCUGGU
This 932-nucleotide ribosomal RNA is filed under the name Agaricus sp. RNAcentral describes it as "partial large subunit ribosomal RNA". It matches the Rfam family "Eukaryotic large subunit ribosomal RNA", at positions 36 to 955 of the family's 3401-position model. Lineage: Eukaryota; Fungi; Basidiomycota; Agaricomycetes; Agaricales; Agaricaceae. The record is from RNAcentral.